Molecule: ribosomal RNA, 398 nt
Filed under: uncultured bacterium
Lineage: Bacteria
Description: bacterial SSU rRNA
Rfam family: Bacterial small subunit ribosomal RNA
Source: RNAcentral
CGCAAGGGAAGAAACUAUACAUAUCAUGAGGUUGGACCCGUGGUACCCCCUUUGAUAAGAAGCACCGGCUUAAACUACGUGCCAGCAGCCGCGGUAAUACGUAGGGUGCGAGCGUUAAUCGGAAUUACUGGGCGUAAAGCGUGCGCAGGCGGUUUUGUAAGUCCGGAUGNUGAAAUUCCCCCGGGCUCAACCUGUGGAACCUGGCGUUCCGGAAAAACUUUGUCNAAUGGANCNUANGGAAGUGUUUGGUUCCAAAGAAAGCGCGCGGGAGAUUAAAGGAAAAUUCCACGUGUAGCAGUUGAAAUGCGUAGAGAUGUGGAGGAAUACCAAUGGCGAAGGCAGCCCCCUGUGAUAACACUGACGCUCAUGCACGAAAGCGUGGGGAGCAAAACAGGGAC